AUUGAACGCUGGCGGCAGGCCUAACACAUGCAAGUCGAGCGGAUGAAGGGAGCUUGCUCCUGGAUUCAGCGGCGGACGGGUGAGUAAUGCCUAGGAAUCUGCCUGGUAGUGGGGGAUAACGUCCUGAAACGGGCGCUAAUACCGCAUACGUCCUGAGGGAGAAAGUGGGGGAUCUUCGGACCUCACGCUAUCAGAUGAGCCUAGGUCGGAUUAGCUAGUUGGUGGGGUAAAGGCCUACCAAGGCGACGACCCGUAACUGGUCUGAGAGGAUGACCAGUCACACUGGAACUGAGACACGGUCCAGACUCCUACGGGAGGCAGCAGUGGGGAAUAUUGGACAAGGGGCGAAAGCCUGAUCCAGCCAUGCCGCGUGUGUGAAGAAGGUCUUCGGAUUGUAAAGCACUUUAAGUUGGGAGGAAGGGCAGUAAGUUAAUACCUUGCUGUUUUGACGUUACCAACAGAAUAAGCACCGGCUAACUUCGUG
Molecule: ribosomal RNA, 484 nt
Filed under: uncultured bacterium
Lineage: Bacteria
Description: partial 16S ribosomal RNA
Rfam family: Bacterial small subunit ribosomal RNA
Source: RNAcentral